Frieseomelitta varia is the source of this 143-nucleotide long non-coding RNA. RefSeq lists it as uncharacterized. The transcript is spliced from 3 exons. The record is from RefSeq and is a predicted model, not a curated record. Lineage: Eukaryota; Metazoa; Arthropoda; Insecta; Hymenoptera; Apidae.
UGCUCUUACGAUCUGUGUAAUUGCAGUUAAUUCGCGCGAGCCGACUUUAUUUUUCUCCCCUGCACAUUUAAUGAAAAUUACGCUUCUGACAAAUGUUGCAGAUUAACCGGUGUCCCGUGUGACGUUCAGCAAUGUGUUUACAC